Cicer arietinum (chickpea) is the source of this 179-nucleotide non-coding RNA. The record is from RefSeq and is a predicted model, not a curated record. Lineage: Eukaryota; Viridiplantae; Streptophyta; Magnoliopsida; Fabales; Fabaceae.
ACCAUUAAACAUGGAAACAACCUCAAGCAAACAAUGGGAAACACUAAUGCAUUUUUCCAGUUGACCAUAGGCAAUAGCCCUCCAAAACAAACCAAGGUAGUGAACCAUAGUACUUCUCCGGAAUGGAAAGAAGGAUUCACAUGGGCAUUUGAUAUACCUCCCAAGGGCCAAAAGCUCCA